This 30-nucleotide non-coding RNA is filed under the name Cricetulus griseus (Chinese hamster). Lineage: Eukaryota; Metazoa; Chordata; Mammalia; Rodentia; Cricetidae. The record is from RNAcentral.
UGGAGUCCCACUCAUUCUUGUUUGUUUGUU